UCCGUAGGUGAACCUGCGGAAGGAUCAUUACCACACCAGAUCCAAGAUCUGUUUCUACACGUGAACCGGGGAGUGUAGGUGGCCUUGUGAAGCCACUGAAGACAGCAGAGGGAGAGACCUUUGUUGUUUUCAGUUGGUGUUGCUUGGCUAGACUCCCCAACCCCCUCUUUUUACACCAUCACUUGAUUGACGGUGCCUUCUCUUGGAAGGUAGCCUGUGUAACUGAAACCAAGCUCUUGCCCUGCACGGCCGGAAGGCCUGUGGAGCAAGGUGCUACUCCAUAAGAGGAUGUAUCAAACAACCUUCAGCAAUGGAUGUCUAGGUUCCCACAACGAUGAAGAACGCAGCGAAAUGCGAUGCGUAAUGCGAAUUGCAAGAUCUCGUGAAUCAUUAAAAUUUUGAACGCACAUUGCGCUCCCUGGAUCUUUCCAGGGAGCAUGCUUGUCUGAGUGUCAGUGAAUCUCGCUCGGUGCUUGACUUGGGGAACACCAAGUGUGGCAGCCGGAAUCUGUUCCUGGGUUGGUAUUUGGCCUCCCCUUGAACCAAAUCAAGUCAGCAAACGCUGCUGGCUGCUUGCGAGCUUGUCAGUUUUUUCUCCUCUCCCUUUGGGAACAAGAGGAUGGACUGCGUCAUGCCGUGGGAUGUUGUGUCCUCGCGCUGGAAAGCCCUCGUCUUUUGCAAAUGGUGCAAGCCAGGACGAAGACUGGGGUGGCGUGGAGAUAAUCCCUUGUAGGUGCGAUGCAACUGUCCCCUGUUUUCAUGAGAUUGGAAAGAACCCAAGCCUGCUGAAGCGUCGUUUGGAUGGUGCAAUUAUUCCCAUCCUCCGAACCACCGUUCCUGAUCUCAGCUCAAGCAAGGAGACCCGCUGAAUUUAAGCAUAUCAAUAAGCGGAGG
RNAcentral lists this ribosomal RNA (894 nucleotides) under Amphora sp. MACC 9. RNAcentral's name for it is "eukaryotic LSU rRNA". The stretch from base 300 to 455 matches the Rfam family "5.8S ribosomal RNA". Lineage: Eukaryota; Bacillariophyta; Bacillariophyceae; Surirellales; Surirellaceae. The record is from RNAcentral.